RNAcentral lists this ribosomal RNA (490 nucleotides) under uncultured bacterium. Its description in RNAcentral is "partial 16S ribosomal RNA". It matches the Rfam family "Bacterial small subunit ribosomal RNA", at positions 29 to 507 of the family's 1533-position model. The record is from RNAcentral.
AAUGAACGCUGGCGGCAUGCCUUACACAUGCAAGUCGAACGGCAGCAUGACCUAGCUUGCUAGGUUGAUGGCGAGUGGCGAACGGGUGAGUAAUGCAUCGGAACGUGCCUUUUAGUGGGGGAUAACGUAGCGAAAGUUACGCUAAUACCGCAUAUUCUCUGAGGAGGAAAGCAGGGGGCCUUCGGGCCUUGCGCUAGAAGAGCGGCCGAUGUCGGAUUAGCUAGUUGGUGAGGUAAAGGCUCACCAAGGCAACGAUCCGUAGCGGGUCUGAGAGGAUGAUCAGCCACACUGGAACUGAGACACGGCCCAGACUCCUACGGGAGGCAGCAGUGGGGAAUUUUGGACAAUGGGCGCAAGCCUGAUCCAGCCAUGCCGCGUGAGUGAAGAAGGCCUUCGGGUUGUAAAGCUCUUUCGGCUGGGAAGAAAUCGAACUCUCUAAUACAGGGUGUGGAUGACGGUACCAGCAUAAGAAGCACCGGCUAACUACGUG